Molecule: microRNA, 21 nt
Filed under: Homo sapiens (human)
Lineage: Eukaryota; Metazoa; Chordata; Mammalia; Primates; Hominidae
Description: hsa-miR-21-3p
Gene: hsa-miR-21-3p
Source: miRBase by way of RNAcentral
CAACACCAGUCGAUGGGCUGU